Long non-coding RNA from Cavia porcellus (domestic guinea pig), 842 nucleotides. RefSeq lists it as uncharacterized. The record is from RefSeq and is a predicted model, not a curated record. The transcript is spliced from 2 exons. NCBI's taxonomy places the organism in Eukaryota, Metazoa, Chordata, Mammalia, Rodentia, Caviidae.
GAAAAUUCCCAAGAAGAGAUACUGAAAAUCAGUGAUCCAGUUCUGAAGAUGCUCAUGAGCUAUGGUUUAUUUGCACUAUUUAUGCACAGAAACAGAGGAGGAAACUACACAGUGUGCCUGGAGGGAAGCAAUGGGACAGGGUUUCUGGGAAGCAGGUAAGUAAACAGAUGCACGCACAUAUUCACCUCAGAAGUCCCAUGGCAGGAAGCCCUUCUCCCUCUGCUUUUCAGGAGUGCAUUUUUCAUGCUAUGCAUGCCAUCUCCUCCAUGCUUUUAUUACUUGUGUGUAUACCUGGUUCAUUCAUUGCUGGGGUGAAACUGCUUUGAAGGUCCAUUUAUGUUUUAAUUAAUUGUCUUUGAAUCUGUAGCUUUAACAUGGUGCCUAGUGUACAUAAGCAGUCAAUAACUGUUUCUUUAAAGUCCCACUUCCCAAUGCAGAAGGCGCAAGGUCCAUCUGCCAAAGCAUUGCUAACAGCUGCCAAGGCAAACAUAAUGCAAUCGUGCAACACUGCUGCCCUCGAAGAAGUCAUUCCUUUAAAACGUCAGUGAAGACAGGAAAGUCCAAGACACAUUCCUCCAGAAACACAUGCAAACACUCACUGUGGAAUGCCUUGGCGUUCUCUCUUAAGAAUAGCUCAGUGAGAGCCCAGCAGAGAGGAAAACGAAACCAGAGACUAACAUGUGGUCACAGAGAGGGUGCACCUCACCAGGACUGUGAGGCAGGGUCAAGUGGAUGGGCAAGAUCAACAGUUUUCAGUGGGGAGAUUGUGCGUGGAUUAUUAUUUGUUAAAGUCCACUUGCAGACAGUGGUCUGUAUACAAAUAAAAUGCUUUUAAACUAACA